ACGAUUUUAAGUUGACCAAACAAGAGAAUUGGUGAACUUUCUCAUUCUGAGUGUUUUUCUCUCCUCCUGAGAUUUAUUUCUCACUGCUUGUGUGAGUUAACAGAUCCGUAAAUUAGUAGUUGCCGGCCGUUGCCUUGGCAAGGGUCGGUGGCAAUCCUGGUUCCCUUUCGAUUUCUUUUCUUUGUGUGUUUGUCAACCUACUUUUCCUCUUGUGCUCCUUAAACCUCAACUCCUUCAUCCUACAUUGGAAAGUCCCCAAUUCCGACUUUCCCUUUUCUAUUCUUCACAUUGUUUGUUCACUUCCAUGUUUCCAAGCAAUCCAUUUUCUUCCUUUCCUUUUUGGCUUUCCCAUCCCUUUGUGUCCUCCAUCCGACAUCAUUUCCCCUUCUUCCAUUGGAUCCAUCACCUCUUGGCUCACGUGCACUGCGACAAAACGCACAUCUGUGGGAGGGUGUGUAGAGCUUGGCUCAGAUGUUUGCACCACCACCUUUGAUGGCCCUUGUUGGCCCUUGCCGCUGCUCGCCCUUGUUGGGCCUUCCCGCUGCUCGCCCUUGUCGGCAAUGUUGCUUGUGGGAGCUUUCUUCUCGUGUGCUUCCAUGGUUUCGUGUUGGGGUUUGUCGUUCUCAAAACUAUUGCUAGGUUUUUGUUGGGGGUUGUUGGAGGAUGAUGGAGCUUUCUUCAUCCCUCUAUCUGAGGGCUUUGUGUGCCUUGAUCUUCGGUGUCUUCAAGAGGUGGGGUCUCACGCUAGGUGGUUGGUGCUUUGGCGGCGGAACAUGAUGUCGUGCUAGGUGGCUGCUAGGUUCUUAUGUAGUGUGUUUUGCUAUUUUGGGCUCCAAACUUUAAGUUGGAAUGGGAUUUUUUUUCUUAUACUGCUUUGGAGGUCCAUAUUAUGCGUUCUAC
This 900-nucleotide long non-coding RNA is filed under the name Malus domestica (apple). Its description in RNAcentral is "long non-coding RNA (MDOM_LNC010736)". The record is from RNAcentral. Lineage: Eukaryota; Viridiplantae; Streptophyta; Magnoliopsida; Rosales; Rosaceae.